Hyla sarda is the source of this 2681-nucleotide long non-coding RNA. RefSeq lists it as uncharacterized. NCBI's taxonomy places the organism in Eukaryota, Metazoa, Chordata, Amphibia, Anura, Hylidae. The record is from RefSeq and is a predicted model, not a curated record. The transcript is spliced from 3 exons.
CACUGGUCACCUCUGUGGGCCUUGGCUGAACUGUAUAGACUUUACCAUCUGUCUAGCCUCAGUAAAGCUACCGUUAUCCGUAACUUGGCAUCGGAGUCAUUGUUGCCCCCGUGCCUAGCCCAGGAUCUAGCGGUAUACCUUCGGGUGGUAUCGAGGAUAAACCACGCCCUGGCAUCACGAAUACAAGGGGUUAAUGCCAUCUGCCACUAGGAUAACAUCAUUUUCCCUCAUCACACCCCGUUAUCCCAUUUAUGUGUGUUGACUUGGACUCUAAAGCGUGAUCCGGUUAUCCGGUGGAUAAAAGUUAAGUUCAGAAUUCCCCUUUAAAUUGAGGUAAAAAGUAGCAACUUCAAAAUACUAGGACAAAGAUUACACAAAGAAGAACAAAGAGGAAACUGAAAUACUAGAAACUAAGAAAAAGAUACUAGAGAGCAUGAAGAAGUACUGUGAUGUGGUUUCUACUAUAAUCUAAACAGAACUGCACAAGCCAGGGAUUUUUAAUGCAAGGCUAAACAAUAAGAAGUACUGUGGAGCUGACAGUAAAGAUUAGCUGACCCAGACCAAUAGAUCAGUUGUUCUAUAGUUACAGAGCAAUUGCCCCAAACAGGAGAAGACAGAAUGGCAAGAAGGUUCCUGUUGUUCAUAACAACAACACUUAUAUUCUCACUUCCUUUGAAUCCAAAAACUCCACACUCGUCUUUAUGGAUAAACAGACACUGACAGCAAUACUCAUGCAACAUGAUUAUAUGUAGUAAAAUGCAAUACUUUUAUGCACGUAAGACGCGUUUCCGGGGCCAAUACGGCCCCUUCAUCAAGAAGGAUAAAAUUCCUAAAACAUUAUGUCAAAGGAAAUUACAUCAAAUAUGCAAAUGUGAAUCAUCCAAUACGCAAAUAUAUAAAAAUACAUAUAUAAAAGAAACACUAUCUGUAUAUAAAAAAAAUGGCAUUGUUUUUAUCACACAGAUGUCCUUUCAAUUACCAAAAGAAAUUAAAUUUAUUCAUUUAUAAAAAUUCUAUACGUUAUGGCCUAGAGACCUAAAUACGUUAAUCGAAGGGACAUCUGUGUGAAAAAUAUGAGUUUUUUUUAUACUGAUGUAUAGGGUGUUUUUUUCGAUAAAUAUUGCAUAUUAGAUGAUUUUUAUUUGCAUAUUUGAUGUUCAUGGUUUUGAUCAGUUUAUUCGUACAUGAUAAAGGGGCUGGAUCAGCGCGUAAACACGUUGCACGUGAAAAUAAAACAUUUUACUGCAUUUGAGAUAUAUAUUUGUUUUUUAUUAUUAUUAUUGUUAUUAUUAUUAUCAUCAUAUUAGAUGAUUUUCAUUUGCACAUUUGACAUGAUUUACUUUGUGGGUAUUUUACCUUCAUGAUUUUGAUCAUUUUGUUUACACCUGAUGAAGGGGCCAGAAGGGUCAUGAAACUUGUCGUACGUCAUGUGAAUAAAAAUAUGACAUUUAACAGCUGGAGGCACACUAGUUGGGAAAUACUGCUUUAAACAAAAAACAAAAAAGAUGAAACUUUUUAUUUUUUUAUUUUUUUUUAAGGUAUAACUUAUACCGGAACGGAUAAUAACCAUGUGUUAGCUGGAUGCAAAUAUGUUGAAUUUAGGACUAGCGCAGACACUUUUAGAAGCCAGUGGAGAGCCAUAUACAUAAAUUUCAGCAUAAACCAGUAUCAAAUGUUCACACAUGAAAAAUGAGAUACCGGACGGAUUAUUACUUAUUUUUCAGUUUUUUUUUUUUUUUCUUCAGGUUCUUCUAUAUCCACUAUAUUGAUGUCACCAUAGAGGAAUAGACUUACUUUGUUCUAAACAUGAAAUCCAGUGCAAAUCACCAUGUACUUACUCAUCUUCUGAUCCGGACGGCUGUGUUAAAAAAAAAAAGGCAGAAUAAGUCUGAAAUAAAGAAAAAGUAACGAUACCAUAAACCUUGUCUGCUUGGUAUAAAGUAACAGAAGAUUGGCGCUGAUCCAAGAGAUAUAACAGUGACAGCUGCUAAUGAAUAUGCCGGGGACGGAUAUCACUUUAUAUUAUUGUAUAUAUAGUGACAGGACGGCAAUUCUAGCAAAUGCUUGUUUAAUAUAAUUAAGAAAUAAAGCGUAAGUGUCACAAAUGUCUCAUGUGCUCACAGCGUUUAAAGAAAGUCAAUCAAGGCUAUUUCCACAUCUGUGUCAAAGGUUCCAUUAGGUUCCAGAUUUUGGCAUGUGAACGAGACAGAGGAAUACCCAUUGAAUUCAAUGUGCAGUUAAUUUUGCCUAAUUUCAGAGCAACAUUUUCAGGUGGAAUUCUGCACAGUGUGAACAUAGACUUUGUGAGUUUUCCCAUUAGCCUGAACAGAAAAAACGCAAAACGUGGAACACGAUUAUCUAAUAGAUUUUUUUUUAACACAUUACAUUAUGUUUUAGUUUAAAAAGAUGACUGCUGUGUUACAAAUAUAGGCACUAAAGGAUGUUCUAAUACAUUAUAUAUAAUGAAAAUUUAGAAUUAUUAUUAUGUAGAUGGAUUGCUUUUGCAAGAAGGGUCUCCUAACAAUGUUCAGGACAUUAAAGGGUACUCCGCCCCUAAACAUCUUAUCUUAAGAUGUCUGAUCAGUGGGACCCCCGCAAUCUCAGUGCAGCACCUGGCAUUCAUUUAGAAUGCUGGGUGCAGGCGGCGGGGGUCGUGAUGUCACAGCCAUGCCCCCUCAUGA